AGUGAACGCUGGCGGCAGGCCUAAUACAUGCAAGUCGAACGGCAGCACAGCAGAGCUUGCUCUGUGGGUGGCGAGUGGCGGACGGGUGAGGAAUACAUGGGAAUCUGCCCAGUCGUGGGGGAUAACGUAGGGAAACUUACGCUAAUACCGCAUGCGCCCUUCGGGGGAAAGCCGGGGACCUUCGGGCCUGGCGCGAUUGGAUGAGCCCAUGUCGGAUUAGCUAGUUGGCGGGGUAAUGGCCCACCAAGGCGACGAUCCGUAGCUGGUCUGAGAGGAUGAUCAGCCACACUGGAACUGAGACACGGUCCAGACUCCUACGGGAGGCAGCAGUAGGGAAUAUUGGACAAUGGGCGCAAGCCUGAUCCAGCCAUGCCGCGUGAGUGAAGAAGGCCCUCGGGUUUAAAGCUCUUUUGUCCGGAAAGAAAGCGCCGGGUUAAUACCCUGGUGUCCUGACGGUACCGGAAGAAUAAGCACCGGCUAACUUCGUGCCAGCAGCCCG
This 499-nucleotide ribosomal RNA is filed under the name uncultured bacterium. Its description in RNAcentral is "bacterial SSU rRNA". It matches the Rfam family "Bacterial small subunit ribosomal RNA", at positions 29 to 517 of the family's 1533-position model. The record is from RNAcentral.